Molecule: long non-coding RNA, 1752 nt
Organism: Micropterus dolomieu (smallmouth bass)
Lineage: Eukaryota; Metazoa; Chordata; Actinopteri; Centrarchiformes; Centrarchidae
Exons: 4
Source: RefSeq, a predicted model, not a curated record
ACAGUAAAAUCACAAUAAUAAGUUGUCAAAUAAGAGUGAUAACAGUCUGUACUUUGUUUCAAGACUGUAGAUGUGUGCGUGUGUGAGGCCCUGUUAACUGAAACCUGCCGAAUGAGAGAGAGAAAUCCCCGAUUUGUGACUGCAGGCCAGGUUUUUUUUUUUCCUUUGAGCUGAGUUAAAGUUGAUGGCAAGCCAACCCAGAUGAGACCUUGAGAUCCCUGGAUUGAAGUUCCCUGAAGUGAGGAACUCUGAGCUAAGGACUGCUGAGCUUACCCCUCUCCUGCCACGGCGGGUUAGGAGCCGUGUGUUACAACAGCGUGUGUGUCUGUGUGGAGAAGCCGCUAAGCCCCGUCCACGCUGAAACACUGACAGAGAGGACAGAAGCAGAUCCAGUAAACACCAGAAAAACGUUGCACUGCAGAUAUUCCUUUAUUAAUUACAAUUGUUACAUCAUCAUAUACUUCAGUCCAGCCAUACAAGAAGGAAAGUAGUCUGAAGUACAACAAAGGACAAUGCAAAGUACUGAAAUUCUAUCACUGGACUAGGUGCGAGAUGCAGGCAAGGCACAACGAAUCAUGCUCACAUGCAUGACCAGCAAGAACAGACCAAAUCAAGUAGGACUCUUUAGUCUGCAUGACCAUCACUUUAUGACUACAGUGGUUUGAAAUGAGAUGCAAUGACACCCUAUAAAGUUCUGAGCUGGAUUAGUCCAGAAAUUGCUGUUGGAUUAAGGAAGAGCUGUUUUACACGUCAUGUCACAUCAUAGAAGACGGACAGCACGAAAGAGCGUGCUCAACAUACAGAAGAUCAACACGAAGGCAGAUGACAAAGGAAGAAGAUAACUGUGGUUUCCCUCAGGUCUCUGACAUUGAAGAUCAGAGCAUGCAGGUACAAGAGUGAGAGCUGAUGGAACUAUAUUUCAGUAAAUAUGUAAGUGAAAUGCUAUGUAAUGUGGUGUUCUCUUGUAUCACAUCCACUUCCAAGUAUAAGAAUAAAACCCACAAAAGCCACUUUCUCUCGUGAGGAUUAUUGCAGAAUUUCACAACCAGCAAACGUUACUAAUUAGAUGAUAAUUAAAAUUUUUGAUGGUUAAUUUCCUGCCGAUCAACUUGUCAACUAAUCGUUGCAGCUUUUAAUGGUGUCAAUUUUAAAAAAGUGUUUUAAGCUAAUAUUUCACAUUCAAAACAACAGCAUAGUAACUAGGAUGAACUGACAGAAGAACGAAGGAUCUGGUGUAUGUAGUGAGAACAGGUGAGCAGCGGGCUGUCUCACAAAAGCAGAAUUUAGAAAUCCAGGAUAACAGAAAAGGCUAGGUUUGACCUAGUGUGGUCAGUGCAUCAUGGGUUUAUCCGUUUCACAAAGGCCAAACCAGGCUCAGGAGGAACGACUGUCAAGCCAGGGGUAAGUAAUUCUGAUAAACGGGCAUCAACAGUUUUCUUCAAGAGACCACACAGGCGAUCACAGACUUAUUCAUGUUGAAAUGGAAAAGACGUGUGCAGCUUUACACAUAGUAACUAACAGCGAAUGAAGAAGAUAUGCUACAUUUUGUUGGCGCUGAACUCGUCACAGAUGUGUAGAUGGGCAUGGCAGUCAGGUGAAAGGGAAAUGAAGAUGGAUGGAAAAUAGAACUGAAUCUGCCUAGGGCGCAGGGAAUGUAGCUGGGGGGGAUAGACAGAGAAACAGACUGAAAAUUAUUAGUUAUACAGAAAGACAUGCAAAAAAACUAACCGGGGCGUAGUGUUACUGGCAUCA